RNAcentral lists this long non-coding RNA (1364 nucleotides) under Mus spicilegus (steppe mouse). RNAcentral describes it as "lncRNA (ENSMSIG00000029910.1)". Lineage: Eukaryota; Metazoa; Chordata; Mammalia; Rodentia; Muridae. The record is from RNAcentral.
AAGUCGGCAGAAUGUUCACAUCCGCCCGUGCGGCUCCAAGCAAGUAGCACGCGGAGAGCGGUGUGCGUUCUCCUCCGGUGUCCCCGUGGUGCUUGUUUACGGGGAGGCGUUUCAAAAGGUUCCGCCUGGUCAGGGCCUAACCUGCGGAGGAACCCGGAAGUGACCGAUCCGGAUGUGGAAAACUACACCCACUGGUGUACUUCCGAGGUCUCGCCGGGCUAAUCCUAGCCUCUUAACAGACAGGCUCAUUUCCAGAAAUGUCAGAGGGACGGAGUUUGUUACCACUACACCGAAUAAACGAAGGAUUGCACAUAAUCCUCCCACGGCGGCACACACACCUAUAAUCCCAGCAUUUAGAAGCUAGAGGUAGGGCAUCCAGAAAUUCAAGGGCAUCCUUGGCUACCUAACAAGGUCGAGGCCAGCCUGGGCUACAUGAAACCCUGUCUCCAAAGAAAAGGUAAUGUAUUAAUAACAUUGAUUGGUGAAAGAUUUCAAGGAUGGCAACGGAGAAAGCAUAAGAAUUGCUAAAAGUUGUAUCCCAUUAAUUUUUUAAAAAUUAGAUACACCUAUAAAAAUCUCUAUGAAUAGUAAACACACACAGAGUUGGUAGAAGACAAAAGGAUUUGUCACUGAAAUUGGAGAUGAGUUCAUGCAAGUCCAAUGGUAAGAAAAAUCCCAUGGGAAGAAGAGGUAAAAGAUGCCAACAGUUUUUAAAUGAGUUUCAGUUUGGGAACAUACAAAAAUUGUGGAGAUGGAUGGUGUCACAUGAGUGUGUACAAUGCUCCUGGCCAUUUAAUAGUUGAACUAUUUAAUAGUUCACCUGUAUAAUUAGCACCAUCUAAUAAUAUGUGUUCUUUUUUUUUUUUUAAACCUGGUCCAAGGUAAUCUACGUACAGAGUUAGCUAGUUAAGUUUCGGUGCUUGUAUCUAAACGUUGUGCUGAUAGCCUUCUGAAACUAAGUGAAGAAAGAAAGAAAAAAAUUACAGGCCACCAAGAUGGCUCAGUAUGUUAAGUCACCUGCCACAAAACUUGAAAAGCCGCGUUCAGCCCCCAAGACCCACAUUGUAGAAGGAGAGAAGCAACUCUAAAGAGCUGUCCUCUGAUCCCCAUACUCACAUGUAAGACAAAUCAUUUAAAAUUAAGAAUGAUCAGCCCCCCCCCACACUUAAAUCCUUAAGAUUUACUCAGAGAGACUACAUUUGAAUGGUCCCUGUGAGUUAUUAUACCAGAGAGCACCCUACUUAGUGUAGUCUGGAAGGGGCUGGGAAAGGGGGCUGAAGACUUCAGGACAUCAAGUUCGGCUCAGGCGUGUCAGCUGUCUUCUACAGUCAUCUUGGUUUCCCACUAUGAAGAUGGUUCUACUG